RNAcentral lists this ribosomal RNA (497 nucleotides) under uncultured bacterium. Its description in RNAcentral is "partial 16S ribosomal RNA". It matches the Rfam family "Bacterial small subunit ribosomal RNA", at positions 28 to 507 of the family's 1533-position model. The record is from RNAcentral.
GAUGAACGCUGGCGGCGUGCCUAAUACAUGCAAGUCGAGCGAACAGACGAGGAGCUUGCUCCUCUGACGUUAGCGGCGGACGGGUGAGUAACACGUAGAUAACCUACCUAUAAGACUGGGAUAACUUCGGGAAACCGGAGCUAAUACCGGAUAAUAUAUUGAACCGCAUGGUUCAAUAGUGAAAGACGGUUUUGCUGUCACUUAUAGAUGGAUCCGCGCCGCAUUAGCUAGUUGGUAAGGUAACGGCUUACCAAGGCAACGAUGCGUAGCCGACCUGAGAGGGUGAUCGGCCACACUGGAACUGAGACACGGUCCAGACUCCUACGGGAGGCAGCAGUAGGGAAUCUUCCGCAAUGGGCGAAAGCCUGACGGAGCAACGCCGCGUGAGUGAUGAAGGUCUUCGGAUCGUAAAACUCUGUUAUUAGGGAAGAACAAAUGUGUAAGUAACUAUGCACGUCUUGACGGUACCUAAUCAGAAAGCCACGGCUAACUAUGUG